UACGGGGGGAGCAAGCGUUGUUCGGAUUUACUGGGCGUAAAGGGCGCGUAGGCGGUCAGCACAAGUCAGUUGUGAAAUCUCCGGGCUUAACUCGGAAAGGUCAACUGAUACUGUGCGACUAGAGUGCAGAAGGGGCAACUGGAAUUCUCGGUGUAGCGGUGAAAUGCGUAGAUAUCGAGAGGAACACCUGCGGCGAAGGCGGGUUGCUGGGCCGACACUGACGCUGAGGCGCGAAAGCCAGGGGAGCGAACGGG
This 254-nucleotide ribosomal RNA is filed under the name uncultured bacterium. RNAcentral describes it as "partial 16S ribosomal RNA". It matches the Rfam family "Bacterial small subunit ribosomal RNA", at positions 524 to 776 of the family's 1533-position model. The record is from RNAcentral.